ACUCCUACGGGAGGCAGCAGUGGGGAAUAUUGGACAAUGGGGAAACCCGUGAUCCAGCCAUGCCGCGUGUGUGAAGAAGGCCUUCGGGUUGUAAAGCACUUUCAGUGGGGAGGAAAGGUUGAUGGUUAAUACCUAUCAGCUGUGACGUUACCCACAGAAGAAGCACCGGCUAACUCCGUGCCAGCAGCCGCGGUAAUACGGAGGGUGCAAGCGUUAAUCGGAAUUACUGGGCGUAAAGCGUGCGCAGGCGGUCUGUUAAGCGAGAUGUGAAAGCCCC
This 277-nucleotide ribosomal RNA is filed under the name uncultured bacterium. Its description in RNAcentral is "partial 16S ribosomal RNA". It matches the Rfam family "Bacterial small subunit ribosomal RNA", at positions 335 to 604 of the family's 1533-position model. The record is from RNAcentral.